UACAGAGGUCCCAAGCGUUGUUCGGAUUCACUGGGCGUAAAGGGUGCGUAGGCGGUCGGGUAAGUCUGGCGUGAAAUCUCCAAGCCUAACUUGGAAACUGCGUUGGAUACUAUCCGGCUCGAGGAAUGGAGGGGAGACUGGAAUACUUGGUGUAGCAGUGAAAUGCGUAGAUAUCAAGUGGAACACCAGUGGCGAAGGCGAGUCUCUGGACAUUUCCUGACACUGAGACACGAAAGCCAGGGGAGCAAACGGG
Molecule: ribosomal RNA, 253 nt
Filed under: uncultured bacterium
Lineage: Bacteria
Description: partial 16S ribosomal RNA
Rfam family: Bacterial small subunit ribosomal RNA
Source: RNAcentral